ACACUCCUACGGGAGGCAGCAGUGGGGAAUUUUGGACAAUGGGCGAAAGCCUGAUCCAGCAAUGCCGCGUGAGUGAAGAAGGCCUUCGGGUUGUAAAGCUCUUUUGUCAGGGAAGAAACGGUGAAAGCUAAUAUCUUUUGCUAAUGACGGUACCUGAAGAAUAAGCACCGGCUAACUACGUGCCAGCAGCCGCGGUAAUACGUAGGGUGCAAGCGUUAAUCGGAAUUACUGGGCGUAAAGCGUGCGCAGGCGGUUUUGUAAGUCUGAUGUGAAAUCCCCGGGCUCAACCUGGGAAUUGCAUUGGAGACUGCAAGGCUAGAAUCUGGCAGAGGGGGGUAGAAUUCCACGUGUAGCAGUGAAAUGCGUAGAUAUGUGGAGGAACACCGAUGGCGAAGGCAGCCCCCUGGGUCAAGAUUGACGCUCAUGCACGAAAGCGUGGGGAGCAAACAGGAUUAGAAACCCGGGUAGUCCCAU
This 474-nucleotide ribosomal RNA is filed under the name uncultured organism. RNAcentral describes it as "partial 16S ribosomal RNA". It matches the Rfam family "Bacterial small subunit ribosomal RNA", at positions 333 to 798 of the family's 1533-position model. The record is from RNAcentral.